UACGUAGGGUGCGAGCGUUAAUCGGAAUUACUGGGCGUAAAGCGUGCGCAGGCGGUUUUGCAAGCCGGAUGUGAAAUCCCCGGGCUCAACCUGGGAAUGGCAUUCGGAACUGCAAGGCUGGAGUGCGGCAGAGGAGACUGGAAUUCCUGGUGUAGCAGUGAAAUGCGUAGAUAUCAGGAGGAAUACCGAUGGCGAAGGCAGGUCUCUGGGCUGACACUGACGCUCAUGCACGAAAGCGUGGGGAGCAAACAGG
This 253-nucleotide ribosomal RNA is filed under the name uncultured bacterium. RNAcentral's name for it is "partial 16S ribosomal RNA". It matches the Rfam family "Bacterial small subunit ribosomal RNA", at positions 524 to 776 of the family's 1533-position model. The record is from RNAcentral.